This 497-nucleotide ribosomal RNA is filed under the name uncultured bacterium. RNAcentral's name for it is "partial 16S ribosomal RNA". It matches the Rfam family "Bacterial small subunit ribosomal RNA", at positions 28 to 507 of the family's 1533-position model. The record is from RNAcentral.
GACGAACGCUGGCGGCGUGCCUAAUACAUGCAAGUAGAACGCUGACGAGAGGAGCUUGCUCUUCUUGGAUGAGUUGCGAACGGGUGAGUAACGCGUAGGUAACCUGCCUUGUAGCGGGGGAUAACUAUUGGAAACGAUAGCUAAUACCGCAUAACAAUGGAUGCCACAUGUCAUUUAUUUGAAUGGGGCAAUUGCUCCACUACAAGAUGGACCUGCGGUGGAAUAGCUAGUAGGUGAGGUAAUGGCCCACCUAGGCGACGAUACAUAGCCGACCUGAGAGGGUGGUCCGCCACACUGGGACUGGGACAAGGCCCAGACUCCCACGGGAGGCAGCAGUAGGGAAACUUUGGCAAUGGGGGCAAACCUGACCGAGCCACGCCGCGUGAGGGAAGAAGGUUUUCGGAUCGUAAAGGUCUGUUGUAAGUGAAGAAAGGGUGUGAGAGUGGAAAGUUCACACUGUGACGGUAGCUUACCAGAAAGGGACGGCUAACUACGUG